CACAGAGACAGCAACGUGCCAAAGCAGGGGGGAGGGGUAGGGACGCAUGAGAAAAGCACCAGGCAGCACUGACACUUACCUUCACAAAAACAACACCACGAACAGCUUUCAGAAUCAACAUUACUGCCAUAGACAGUGCAUAGAUGCCAGCGUAGUAAUGCAUGUGGGGGUUAUCUUUCAUGCUGUUACUUAUGACAGUGUCAUUUCCCAAAGUCACAGUGGUGUUUCCGCUGCCUUGCUUGAUCCAGAAACUCAGCCACCAGUUGCUAAAAGCUGUGCUGCCCACAUUCAGCACAAAUAGUGCCAUUAUUACAAGGAAUGCAAAGGGGCCUCCAGCUGCCUGAAUGUAGAUGCCAUAAACAGACCAGGGGACAGAGCCUUUGCCUUUCUCUUCCAACUGAACCAGUUGGCCCUCUUCCUUCUUCACCACCUUCUCCUUCUUCACAGAGCCCGCUUUGGUACCUUUAUCCUGGGGUCUUUUCAGUGAGCUGUUUGUAUUCUUCUUUAUGUUAAUCUCAAUAUGUGGCGUUUCUCCCAGUUGUAGGUUAUUAAAAAUGGUUGCAUAGUCCCCACUUAAAUUCAUUAAUUCCUCA
Molecule: long non-coding RNA, 593 nt
Filed under: Gallus gallus (chicken)
Lineage: Eukaryota; Metazoa; Chordata; Aves; Galliformes; Phasianidae
Source: RNAcentral